UAGAUACCCUAUUAUAUUAGGUGUUAAUUCUUUACCUGGGUAGUAUUUGUUAUGUUCUUGAAACCCAAAGAAUUUGGCGGUAUUUUAUUCUUUCCAGAGGAACCUGUUUUUUAAUUGAUAGUCCACGAUUUUAUGUACUUAUUCUUGUAUUCCAGUUUUUAUACCUCCGUCAUAAGAAUAUUUUUUUAGAAUUAAUUUUCUUAAUUAUUUUAUCUAUUUAAAUGUCAGGUCAAGGUGAAGCUAAUGCUUAAGUAAUAAUGGGUUACAAUAAAUUUAUUUAUACGGAGAAUUAAUUGUAUAAUUGGUUUGAAGGUGGAUUUGGUAGUAAAUUGAUUAAUUAGAUUUUUUGAUUUUAGCUCUAAAAUAUGU
RNAcentral lists this ribosomal RNA (369 nucleotides) under Melanesobasis corniculata. RNAcentral describes it as "partial 12S ribosomal RNA". The record is from RNAcentral. Lineage: Eukaryota; Metazoa; Arthropoda; Insecta; Odonata; Coenagrionidae.